GAGUUUGACUGAAAACAAAACAAACCCCCAUAAAGGCUUCACUUUCUCCCGUACUUGUUGGUUCUUCCCAUCACUCCUGCCGAUUACCCUUACUAGAUUUACUGUUGUUCUUGCCAGCGUUGUCGUCCCAAAAUCCGGCUACCGUCAAUCCUUCAAAAGACAUCUUUAUCAUUGUCAUAUUAUCGGUGUCCAAAGUGCAACAACGCUGUCGAUUUUGCCCUCCCCUGUCGUCAUCUUCUCCGACUGUCGUCAUUGGAUUGUAGACUAGAAUUACUAGCAGUUGCGAGAGCGUUUCUUGAAGGGAUAAGAGGAAAGAAUUAUGGUGUUUAUCACAGCUGUAGAAGUAUAGAUCACUUUUUCGAAGAAUGCCACCAAAAACUACGUUGUCGAUGGUGUGUAGAAGGAAUCCAAAAAUGCUUUGAGGUUCAAAAGGAGGGCAAUAACAAUGGUCGACUAUUCAAAACCUACAGUAAUGAUUGCAGAUUUUUUAACUGGGUAAAAGAAGAAGGAAACGGCGAGUCAAGUACCAUUAAGGACACAAUAAAUCCUACUGUGAACGAGGAAGUGAACGAGUUGCAAAAUAUGUUCGAAAGUCUAGCUCGAAUAGCCGAGAACCGAAACGUCGAGGUUUCAUUUAAUGUGACACUUCGCAAAGGAAAAGAGCCCUCGGAAGAUAAUGGAAAACGAAAGGGGUCGGCAUAAUGUGGUGUUAUACUCGAUGUUGCAGUCUUCUCUUUAGUGUGUCUUUAGUUUGUUGGGCUAAUUGCUAGCUUCUUAAUUGAUGUAGAAUGGUGUAAUCUGCUUUAGUUUUGUAAUCAUUAGAUUUGCAACUAUUUUAGUUUUGAAUGAGGAAGACUUUAUGGUUCAUAC
Molecule: long non-coding RNA, 870 nt
Organism: Olea europaea var. sylvestris
Lineage: Eukaryota; Viridiplantae; Streptophyta; Magnoliopsida; Lamiales; Oleaceae
Exons: 2
Source: RefSeq, a predicted model, not a curated record